Molecule: ribosomal RNA, 825 nt
Filed under: uncultured archaeon
Lineage: Archaea
Description: bacterial SSU rRNA
Rfam family: Archaeal small subunit ribosomal RNA
Source: RNAcentral
UUCCGGUUGAUCCCGCCGGACCCCACUGCUAUCGAGAUGGGACUAAGGUAUGCUAGUCGAACGACCAGAACUAUGUCUGGAAGUGGCACACUGCUCAGUAACACGUAGCUAACCUACCCUUAGGACGUGGAUACCCCCGAGAAAUUGGGGUUAAUCCGCGAUAGGUGUAAUGUCCUGGAAUGGUAUUACGCCUAAAGGUGUAUCAUACAUGUUUGAUAUACGCCUAAGGAUGGGGCUGCGGCCGAUCAGGCUGUUGGUGAGGUAAUGGCUCACCAAACCUUUGACCGGUACGGGCCAUGAGAGUGGUAGCCCGGAGAUGGACACUGAGACAAGGGUCCAGGCCCUAAGGGGCGCAGCAACCGCGAAACCUCCACAGUGCACUCACGUGCGAUGGGGCUAUCUCGAGUGCCACCUGAUGAAGGUGGCUUUUCCUAGGUCUUCAAAGCCUUGGGAAUAAGAGGGGGGCAAGACUGGUGUCAGCCGCCGCGGUAACACCAGCCCCUCGAGUGGUGGGGAUGAUUAUUUGGCCUAAAGCGUCCGUAGCCGGCCGAGCAAGUCUUCCGUUAAAUCCAGCGUCUCAAGCGUUGGACUGCGGGAGAUACUACACGGCUAGAGAGUGGGAGAGGUCAGCGGUAUUCUGGGGGUAGGGGCGAAAUCCUUUGAUCCCCGGAGGACCACCAGUGGCGAAGGCUGCUGACUAGAACACGUCUGACGGUCAGGGACGAAAGCUGGGGUAGCGAACCGGAUUAGAUACCCGGGUAGUCCCAGCCGUAAACGAUGCAUGCUAGGUGUUGGGUUGGCCACGAGCCACCCCAGUGCCGCAGG